Molecule: long non-coding RNA, 2398 nt
Organism: Sphaerodactylus townsendi
Lineage: Eukaryota; Metazoa; Chordata; Lepidosauria; Squamata; Sphaerodactylidae
Exons: 2
Source: RefSeq, a predicted model, not a curated record
ACACAUGAUGAACUCUGUGCGUGCCCACAGAGAGGGCUCUGAGUGCCACCUCUGGCACCCGUGCCAUAGGUUCGCCAUCACUGACAUAUAUUCACCUAACAAUGGAGAUUGAUAGAACAGAACAUUAGAUGAUGCUCGAUGUACCUAGCCCCUGAAACUUUUGGAAUCAUAUCAUAGCCUUUCAAAAUGUUUUAGGCUUGAACAAAUUAUUCCCAUUAAGGGCCAGCCAAAAAAUGUCAGUGUCACUGACAAAGCAACCCAGCCACUGUGAAAUUGGGGAUGACCCAGACUGUCCUUUCUAUAUAUAUUUAUGGAAGACAUUACUAUUUAUUUGCCUAUUGGAGGUCUUUAGGAUUUACCUAUGUUGUCGUCGUUGUUCUUCAGUGCAUUUUGGACACUAGUUCUCUUCAUUUAGAUAUUAUGUUGUCCUCUUGUUCAUCGCUGUUCAUGUAUGUUGUAAGAUUUUCCAAUGGUUUUGUUAAUGUGCACAAUAUGCUAUUUGUAUCUUUGAUCUUUCUACACCAUAUACUAUCAUUGUGAACUCUCUUGUUGUGAUAGCUUAUGGUGCGGUGGGUCAUAUUGUUAUUCUCUAUUGUUUUCCACCACCCCUUUUGGGUUGUAUUAUUUGUCUCUGAGAUUAGACAGGGACCUUAAACAGCACCCACCAGUGGAGUCGCUGUGUAUUGCAAGCAGAAUGAGUGAGAUGUUCUUGCUUUGUGCUGAUUGUUUGGAAUAUUCACAGAACAAGUCUUAUUAUCAGUGCUCCCACUCUCCUGGGAGGCUUACAGCAUGAAAAUACUUCUUUCCCCCUGCUAGCAGCCUUCCACAGUGUCCAGCACAAGAUGGGGAGGGUGAGCUCUCUGCAUGGUGAGCUCUGUGUACGUUUCUGAAUCCUAGCAUUUGCCUGACUAAGCUGCCCUAUGGUGUUAAGCAUGAGUAUAACUGUUGUGGCAGACGUGCAGUUUCCCAGCAAUCAGCUCACUGUGUUGAGUUGCUAGAAGUCAAAGAGCUCAGAAGGCUGUAACACUGAUAGACAUGUAUUGGCCAGUUCCCAUCAUGUCACUAGUAACAAAAGAUACAGUGACUCGUCUUCUCCAGGUGCAUAUUUUGAAAUGUUUUUUGUUGGUUGCUCUGGAAUCUUUUUUAGGCUAAGCACUUCCUACUGAACUAUUGCAGGGGAGUUUUCUUUUUCCAAGGCAAUUCCAAGAACAUGUUUCCUAGGAACUGGCGCCAUUGAGUAGAUCUUAAUAGGAUUCUGGCCAGACCUGCUUAGGAUUGCUCCCUCAGUUACUUUAUAUGUUGGAAAGGUUAGUACGAUAUAUCUCAUUGGUGAUUAGAUAUGAUUCAUCCAUGCCAGCAGAAAUUGCAUGAAACAUCUCACUUCAAUCUGAAUAUCCCAAUUUGUCAUAUGUGUGACACGGCUAGAGAAUGUGGUUUAUAAUCCAUAAACAGAUUAGGGUUAUUCUGGCAAUAGUACUAAGCAUAUUCACCCCAAAAUUGGGGGGGGGGGGCAGACCUAUGGCAGAGAAGCUGACGGGAUAUUUUAUACAAAUCACUCAAUAAAUGUCAAUGUUACCAAAAAGAAAUCAUUUUUAUUUGUCCUGCAUAAUUAAAAAACACAUACACAUACAUUUUGGCAGAUAUUCAGAGCACACUUUACCCCUAUUGUUUCAUGUGCCAUUAGCUUCCCUCUCAGUUGUACAAUACUUACCACUUCUCCUUUUCGUAGAUUGAUAUCAUCAAAAUAAAACCUGGACAUUUGAGCACCACAUUGUCUGAAGAUUCCACGGUUUUAUAUUCCAUGACCACAUGUAGAUAAAAUACAGGGCAAAACAGUUCACUGUGCUUCUCUUUCUGCUUCUAUGUUUGUUUGUUUGUUUGUUUGUUUUGUUGGAUUUAUAUUCUGCCUCAUCUCCGAAGGACCAACACAUUACCGAUAAUACAAGGUCCAUCUUCAUCACUGUCAUGGUGACUUGGCCAAGGAACUCAAGUUCCUGUUCCUCAGGUAGACAGGGGAGGUUUGGACAGGAAUCUAAAAGAGGCUGAUCUUCCUAUUAUUUUGGACUGGGAUAGCAGUACUUCUGACCCUCUUUAACUUCCUGAACACUGGUCUGUCACACCCAGGAUCAAUAAAGGGAUUUGCCUAGGGAAACUAAGGGGUUCUUGGCACAUCAGAAUAUUCCACUGAUUAAAGUCAUCUGAGACAAAUUCACUUUAAAUGUGCAUGCUUUUAUGUCAUGGCAGGAUCAAGAGUUCUAAGGCAACUAGCAGGACAUUUGUGAUGAUGUAGAUUUUAUGUCUAAUAAAAGUAAUGAAAUGAAUGGUGAUAUAGGUUGCUUCAUUUUUGUGUAAAUAAGAGAUCAAGCAAAAUUGAUGCAUAAAUUAUAGAUGCAAUAGU